UCACUUCAAUUUUAGUUGUCUUCUCGAAGCGUUAACAUUAAAACUGCACGUGCAUUGAAAGUGACGAAUGUGUGUUGCUGUGUAAGAAUGCUCCUUCCGCUUUCUCUUCGGACGACUCUCCCCCGACCGGCUCCCGAUGAUGAAAAUGACGGGGUCGCUUGUUUCGACCUUAUCCGCGUGACGGAAGACAGGCCUCGCGGAUGACUCCGCACGCGGAGCGGACGGGACGACAUUCUUCGAGCCCUUGCCACUUUCCAACGAGAAGUUUGUCCAGCGGCGACGGCAACACGGGGACAUCGCUUCUCGACUGUGUUCCCCAGGUGCACGAAAGCUCGGGUCAUCGAGAAUGCAACGAAGAUCUUCGCAUUCGAUGGAACUUCCGCGUUUCUUCUGAAUAGACUAAGGGAUGAUCGCAUAUGUUUUGUUCAAGAUUGAUCGGGAACUUGUAUUUUUAUUUUACGACGAAUGAAGAAGGUCGGGUUACUCUGCCAAUAAGCGACGGGGUAGCAACACAAAGGCUCGUCUCGUGAUAAAAGUAUCCCAUAAUUUAACCUUCGCCGUACCAUUCCCGGAUCUUUUCGGAUCCAGAACUCGAGGCCUGCCUUGACCGUUUAUUUAUUAGGGUGUUCCUUAAGUUCCUUCCUUUUUUCUGAUGCGAAACGAUUACACAAUAUUUGUUGUUUAAGACUGA
Long non-coding RNA from Megalopta genalis, 691 nucleotides. RefSeq lists it as uncharacterized. The record is from RefSeq and is a predicted model, not a curated record. NCBI's taxonomy places the organism in Eukaryota, Metazoa, Arthropoda, Insecta, Hymenoptera, Halictidae.